GGUUAAGUGAAUAAGGGCGCACGGUGGAUGCCUUGGCACUAGGAGCCGAUGAAGGACGGGACUAACACCGAUAUGCUUUGGGGAGCUGUAAGUAAGCUAUGAUCCAGAGAUUUCCGAAUGGGGGAACCCAAUAUCUUUUAUAGGAUAUUACUUUUCAGUGAAUACAUAGCUGAUUAGAGGUAGACGCAGAGAACUGAAACAUCUUAGUACCUGCAGGAAGAGAAAGAAAAUUCGAUUCCCUGAGUAGCGGCGAGCGAAACGGGAAGAGCCCAAACCAACAAGCUUGCUUGUUGGGGUUGUAGGACUCCAAUAUGGUAGUCUGUUAGUAUAGUUGAAGGAUUUGGAAAAUUCCGCUAAAGAGGGUGAAAGCCCCGUAGACGAAAUGCUGACAACACCUAGGAGGAUCCUGAGUACGGCGGAACACGAGAAAUUCCGUCGGAAUCCGCGGGGACCAUCCCGCAAGGCUAAAUACUCCCUAGUGACCGAUAGUGAACCAGUACCGUGAGGGAAAGGUGAAAAGCACCCCGGAAGGGGAGUGAAAUAGAUCCUGAAACCGUGUGCCUACAACAAGUCAAAGCUCGUUAAUGAGUGAUGGCGUGCCUUUUGUAGAAUGAACCGGCGAGUUACGAUUGCAUGCGAGGUUAAGUCGAAGAGACGGAGCCGCAGCGAAAGCGAGUCUGAAUAGGGCGAAUGAGUAUGUAGUCGUAGACCCGAAACCAUGUGAUCUACCCAUGUCCAGGUUGAAGGUGCGGUAAAACGCACUGGAGGACCGAACCCACGUACGUUGAAAAGUGCGGGGAUGAGGUGUGGGUAGCGGAGAAAUUCCAAACGAACUUGGAGAUAGCUGGUUCUCUCCGAAAUAGCUUUAGGGCUAGCCUCGGAAUUGAGAAUGAUGGAGGUAGAGCACUGUUUGGACUAGGGGCCCAUCUCGGGUUACCGAAUUCAGAUAAACUCCGAAUGCCAUUCAUUUAUAUCCGGGAGUCAGACUGCGAGUGAUAAGAUCCGUAGUCGAAAGGGAAACAGCCCAGACCACCAGCUAAGGUCCCAAAAUAUAUGUUAAGUGGAAAAGGAUGUGGGGUUGCACAGACAACUAGGAUGUUGGCUUAGAAGCAGCCACCAUUUAAAGAGUGCGUAAUAGCUCACUAGUCGAGUGACCCUGCGCCGAAAAUGUACCGGGGCUAAACAUAUUACCGAAGCUGUGGACUACACCAUUAGGUGUAGUGGUAGGAGAGCGUUCUAAGGGCGUUGAAGGUCGAUCGUGAGGACGGCUGGAGCGCUUAGAAGUGAGAAUGCCGGUAUGAGUAGCGAAAGACAGGUGAGAAUCCUGUCCACCGUAUGACUAAGGUUUCCUGGGGAAGGCUCGUCCGCCCAGGGUUAGUCGGGACCUAAGCCGAGGCCGAUAGGCGUAGGCGAUGGACAACAGGUUGAUAUUCCUGUACCAGUUGUUUUUGUUUGAGCAAUGGAGGGACGCAGUAGGCUAAGGAAUGCAUGCGAUUGGAAGUGCAUGUCCAAGCAAUGAGUCUUGAGUAGAGUUAAAUGCUUUACUCUCUAAGGACAAGUUGUGACGGGGAGCGAAAUAAUAGUAGCGAAGUUCCUGAUGUCACACUGCCAAGAAAAGCUUCUAGUGAGAAAACAACUGCCCGUACCGUAAACCGACACAGGUAGUCGAGGAGAGUAUCCUAAGGUGAGCGAGCGAACUCUCGUUAAGGAACUCGGCAAAAUGACCCCGUAACUUCGGGAGAAGGGGUGCUGACUUCGGUCAGCCGCAGUGAAUAGGCCCAAGCGACUGUUUAUCAAAAACACAGGUCUCUGCAAAAUCGUAAGAUGAAGUAUAGGGGCUGACGCCUGCCCGGUGCUGGAAGGUUAAGAGGAUGGGUUAGCUUCGGCGAAGCUCAGAAUUGAAGCCCCAGUAAACGGCGGCCGUAACUAUAACGGUCCUAAGGUAGCGAAAUUCCUUGUCGGGUAAGUUCCGACCCGCACGAAAGGCGUAACGAUUUGGCAGGACGGAAAGACCCCAUGGAGCUUUACUGUAGUUUGAUAUUGAGUGUUUGUACCACAUGUACAGGAUAGGUAGGAGCCGAUGAGACCGGAACGCUAGUUUCGGAGGAGGCGCUGGUGGGAUACUACCCUUGUGUUAUGAACCCUCUAACCCGCACCACUAAUCGUGGUGGGAGACAGUGUCAGAUGGGCAGUUUGACUGGGGCGGUCGCCUCCUAAAAGGUAACGGAGGCGCCCAAAGGUUCCCUCAGAAUGGUUGGAAAUCAUUCGAAGAGUGUAAAGGCAGAAGGGAGCUUGACUGCGAGACCUACAAGUCGAGCAGGGACGAAAGUCGGGCUUAGUGAUCCGGUGGUUCCGCAUGGAAGGGCCAUCGCUCAACGGAUAAAAGCUACCCUGGGGAUAACAGGCUUAUCUCCCCCAAGAGUCCACAUCGACGGGGAGGUUUGGCACCUCGAUGU
RNAcentral lists this ribosomal RNA (2456 nucleotides) under Klebsiella pneumoniae. Its description in RNAcentral is "partial 23S ribosomal RNA". It matches the Rfam family "Bacterial large subunit ribosomal RNA", at positions 1 to 2532 of the family's 2925-position model. The record is from RNAcentral. Lineage: Bacteria; Pseudomonadati; Pseudomonadota; Gammaproteobacteria; Enterobacterales; Enterobacteriaceae.